UGUGUGCCAUGAUCUCAGGACUUCUGCACUUCCUCUUUCUCUCCGGCUUUGUGUGGAUGUUCAUUGAAGCUGUGCUGCUCUUCAUCUGUGUGAAGAACCUAUCACAGAUCAGCUCCAAAAAGAGGGAGGUGCUUAACAGUGGAUUCCUGUGUGUGAUUGGAUAUCUGGUUGCUCUGGUUGUGGUGUGUGUGUCUGUCGGUCUGGUUCCUGAAGGCUACGGCAGCGAAGAAUGCUGGAUUAAAAUGGAUAAAGGCUUCAUCUGGAGUUUUCUGGGUCCUGUUUGUGUCCUACUAGCAGUAAAUGCAUUUCUUAUUUCUUAUCACUUUAAUAUUAAAAGGAAAAGAUGAUUAAUACUCUUCUACUUUGCAGUUAAACAUGAUUCUCUUCAUCAAGAUCGUCAUCAGUCUGAUCUCAGCACUCAAAACUCUCAAUGCUGAAGUUUCACAGAUGAAACAAACCAAGAUCAUGGUGUUUAAAACACUGGCUCAGUGUGUGGUUCUUGGUUGCUCCUGGAUUCUGGGUUUCUUCACUAAUAGCAGUAAGGUGCUGGAGAUCCUCUUCCUGAUCUUGAACUCCCAGCAGGGAACCUUCAUCUUCCUGAUCUACUGUGUCCUCAAUAAUGAGGUCAGACAUUUA
This is a long non-coding RNA of Cyprinus carpio (common carp), 636 nucleotides long. RefSeq lists it as uncharacterized. The transcript has 3 exons. The record is from RefSeq and is a predicted model, not a curated record. Lineage: Eukaryota; Metazoa; Chordata; Actinopteri; Cypriniformes; Cyprinidae.